GACGAACGCUGGCGGCGUGCUUAACACAUGCAAGUCGAACGGAAAGGCCCUGCUUUUGUGGGGUGCUCGAGUGGCGAAAGGGUGAGGAACACGUGAGUAACCUGCCCUUGACUUUGGGAUAACUUCAGGAAAAUGGGGCUAAUACCGGAUAGGAGCUCCUGCUGCAUGGUGGGGGUUGGAAAGUUUCGGCGGUUGGGGAUGGACUCGCGGCUUAUCAGCUUGUUGGUGGGGUAGUGGCUUACCAAGGCUUUGACGGGUAGCCGGCCUGAGAGGGUGACCGGCCACAUUGGGACUGAGAUACGGCCCAGACUCCUACGGGAGGCAGCAGUGGGGAAUAUUGCACAAUGGGCGGAAGCCUGAUGCAGCAACGCCGCGUGCGGGAUGACGGCCUUCGGGUUGUAAACCGCUUUCGCCUGUGACGAAGCGUGAGUGACGGUAAUGGGUAAAGAAGCACCGGCUAACUACGUG
RNAcentral lists this ribosomal RNA (468 nucleotides) under uncultured bacterium. Its description in RNAcentral is "partial 16S ribosomal RNA". It matches the Rfam family "Bacterial small subunit ribosomal RNA", at positions 28 to 507 of the family's 1533-position model. The record is from RNAcentral.